UCUCUGACAAGAAGCCAUUUCUCUGUCCACACUUUUAUAUACACAGAUUACUACUGUGGUUGGUGAUGAAUUGUAAGAAGCUGAUCGGAAAUCUAUAUUUUCUUAUAAUUGUAGGUCUACAUUAUUGUAAGCAGAACCAAAACAUGGAAGGUUUUUCAUCAUCUCUAUUACCUGAAUAUGAAAUGCUGAGUAGACAAUGUUAGUGAAAGUAGACAGUACAAAGUGGAGACUGUUGUGGUAUCAUAUAUUGAAGACAUAUAUGUGCAGGGAAACUGCAAUCACUGUCCAGACCACCGCUAGUGUGCAAAACCUGCUACCAGCCUUCUGAAACUGCAGUGGUCAAGGUGGAUGUCAAGGUUCUGUGUUGGACCUGCCAAGAAGUGGACGCAAUAAAACUGCCACAGAUGAAGCAACAACAAUGGCCAUCCUGGCGUUCUUCAGCAAGAGCCCGCAUCGUAGCGCCCAGCAUCUGUCACAGGAGAGUGGGACUAGAGAGUACACCGUUCAUUUUGUCAGAUGAUAAAUGGUGUGAAUUUCAUUUGUCAGCAGCAAACAUUAGGAUGAAUGUUAAGCCAGUACGUGUAACGGCAACAUGAGAAAAUGGGUAAACGGUAAAAGUUUCCUGUAGACUGACUCAUCAACCACAAACAUAAGGUCUGCAGACCAUUGUACUAACAUGCGCUUACGUAUCCGGUUUGGUUCUAACCCCUGCAGAGUGACUUUUGUACUUUAUGGCUGUUUGAAGAUGGUAUCAGCUGUCAAUUGACGUAUUAGGUGAAUAUCAUAUCCAGACACACAUUUAAAAACUACAUUAAAUCUUA
Molecule: long non-coding RNA, 821 nt
Organism: Bufo gargarizans (Asiatic toad)
Lineage: Eukaryota; Metazoa; Chordata; Amphibia; Anura; Bufonidae
Exons: 5
Source: RefSeq, a predicted model, not a curated record